CGAAUUGCUUCGAAGGAAAGUAAGUAACUCCUCUGUCCCUGUCUCAGAGAACCGAUUAGUGGUGUGAAAUCGGUACAAACAGAGAGAGCGAAUUUCAUUUCUGGAGCUUCUAUGCGUGAGCCAUGGACGGUGACGACUGUUAUACGUGUAAAGUCAUGAAACUCUUGUUUCAUAACUAGGGUGGUACCGCGAUGUAAGUCGCCCCUACA
This 209-nucleotide non-coding RNA is filed under the name Pontibacillus chungwhensis. RNAcentral describes it as "T-box sequence". It matches the Rfam family "T-box leader". From Rfam's summary of the family: Uncharged tRNA acts as the effector for transcription antitermination of genes in the T-box leader family. T-boxes are found upstream of many aminoacyl-tRNA synthetase genes and some amino acid biosynthetic genes usually in Gram-positive bacteria. The anticodon of a specific tRNA base pairs to a specifier sequence within the T-box motif, and the NCCA acceptor tail of the tRNA base pairs to a conserved bulge in the T-box antiterminator hairpin. Lineage: Bacteria; Bacillati; Bacillota; Bacilli; Caryophanales; Bacillaceae. The record is from RNAcentral.